UUCCAAGGUAACCUGCAUAAAAUAUACUUACAUGCAAGAGAGAGAAGAUCAAAAUGUAUGGAGUAAAAUGGAGGCACUCAGACUAACCGAAAGAAUCAUUUUACACACACGCUCUACUUCAAGAAGUACCAUACAAACACUCCUGAUCUUUCAUCACCAAAAUGAUGAUUUGAUUGACAAAAGUCUUCAUGGCCUGAUUCUACCCACCAAGUUCAUUUUUCUAAUCUUUAUAAAUAAUCAUCCACCUGACAGAGAAGAAACUAGAAUUCAUCAUUUGAAGGCACGAGGCAGAAUUUCCGUUCAAUCAGAAGCUAGGCAUUAGUCAAUGGGGAACAAUGAAUCAAUUUACAGACUAACUUUGGGGGACUCAUUUCUCAAGUGCCUUAGUGUACAAAUACCAACAAAC
Molecule: long non-coding RNA, 406 nt
Filed under: Rattus norvegicus (Norway rat)
Lineage: Eukaryota; Metazoa; Chordata; Mammalia; Rodentia; Muridae
Description: long non-coding RNA NONRATT011200
Source: RNAcentral